Molecule: transfer RNA, 67 nt
Filed under: Marmota monax (woodchuck)
Lineage: Eukaryota; Metazoa; Chordata; Mammalia; Rodentia; Sciuridae
Description: tRNA.Ala
Source: RNAcentral
GGCUGUGGCUCAGUGGUACAGUGUUUACCUGGCACGUGUAAGGCACUGGGUUCAAUCCUCAGUACCA